This 77-nucleotide transfer RNA is filed under the name Candidatus Saccharimonadota bacterium. RNAcentral describes it as "tRNA-Val". It matches the Rfam family "tRNA". From Rfam's summary of the family: Transfer RNA (tRNA) molecules are approximately 80 nucleotides in length. Lineage: Bacteria; Candidatus Saccharimonadota. The record is from RNAcentral.
GGGCACGUAGCUCAGUUGGCUAGAGCGCCACAUUGACGUUGUGGAAGUCGGGGGUUCGAAUCCCUCCGUGCCCACCA